This 1729-nucleotide ribosomal RNA is filed under the name Salmonella enterica subsp. enterica serovar Newport str. 36799. RNAcentral's name for it is "bacterial LSU rRNA". It matches the Rfam family "Bacterial large subunit ribosomal RNA", at positions 1219 to 2925 of the family's 2925-position model. Lineage: Bacteria; Pseudomonadati; Pseudomonadota; Gammaproteobacteria; Enterobacterales; Enterobacteriaceae. The record is from RNAcentral. RNAcentral also lists the same sequence under 1 other name.
GUUCGUUGGGUAGGGGAGCGUUCUGUAAGCCUGUGAAGGUGUGUCGUGAGGCAUGCUGGAGGUAUCAGAAGUGCGAAUGCUGACAUAAGUAACGAUAAAGCGGGUGAAAAGCCCGCUCGCCGGAAGACCAAGGGUUCCUGUCCAACGUUAAUCGGGGCAGGGUGAGUCGACCCCUAAGGCGAGGCCGAAAGGCGUAGUCGAUGGGAAACGGGUUAAUAUUCCCGUACUUGGUGUUACUGCGAAGGGGGGACGGAGAAGGCUAUGUUGGCCGGGCGACGGUUGUCCCGGUUUAAGCGUGUAGGUGUGUGUUCCAGGUAAAUCCGGUUCACUUUAACACUGAGGCGUGACGACGAGGCACUACGGUGCUGAAGCAACAAAUGCCCUGCUUCCAGGAAAAGCCUCUAAGCAUCAGGUAACAUCAAAUCGUACCCCAAACCGACACAGGUGGUCAGGUAGAGAAUACCAAGGCGCUUGAGAGAACUCGGGUGAAGGAACUAGGCAAAAUGGUGCCGUAACUUCGGGAGAAGGCACGCUGACACGUAGGUGAAGUGAUUUACUCAUGGAGCUGAAGUCAGUCGAAGAUACCAGCUGGCUGCAACUGUUUAUUAAAAACACAGCACUGUGCAAACACGAAAGUGGACGUAUACGGUGUGACGCCUGCCCGGUGCCGGAAGGUUAAUUGAUGGGGUCAGCGCAAGCGAAGCUCCUGAUCGAAGCCCCGGUAAACGGCGGCCGUAACUAUAACGGUCCUAAGGUAGCGAAAUUCCUUGUCGGGUAAGUUCCGACCUGCACGAAUGGCGUAAUGAUGGCCAGGCUGUCUCCACCCGAGACUCAGUGAAAUUGAACUCGCUGUGAAGAUGCAGUGUACCCGCGGCAAGACGGAAAGACCCCGUGAACCUUUACUAUAGCUUGACACUGAACAUUGAGCCUUGAUGUGUAGGAUAGGUGGGAGGCUUUGAAGCGUGGACGCCAGUCUGCAUGGAGCCGACCUUGAAAUACCACCCUUUAAUGUUUGAUGUUCUAACGUGGACCCGUGAUCCGGGUUGCGGACAGUGUCUGGUGGGUAGUUUGACUGGGGCGGUCUCCUCCUAAAGAGUAACGGAGGAGCACGAAGGUUGGCUAAUCCUGGUCGGACAUCAGGAGGUUAGUGCAAUGGCAUAAGCCAGCUUGACUGCGAGCGUGACGGCGCGAGCAGGUGCGAAAGCAGGUCAUAGUGAUCCGGUGGUUCUGAAUGGAAGGGCCAUCGCUCAACGGAUAAAAGGUACUCCGGGGAUAACAGGCUGAUACCGCCCAAGAGUUCAUAUCGACGGCGGUGUUUGGCACCUCGAUGUCGGCUCAUCACAUCCUGGGGCUGAAGUAGGUCCCAAGGGUAUGGCUGUUCGCCAUUUAAAGUGGUACGCGAGCUGGGUUUAGAACGUCGUGAGACAGUUCGGUCCCUAUCUGCCGUGGGCGCUGGAGAACUGAGGGGGGCUGCUCCUAGUACGAGAGGACCGGAGUGGACGCAUCACUGGUGUUCGGGUUGUCAUGCCAAUGGCACUGCCCGGUAGCUAAAUGCGGAAGAGAUAAGUGCUGAAAGCAUCUAAGCACGAAACUUGCCCCGAGAUGAGUUCUCCCUGAGACUUAGAGUCUCCUGAAGGAACGUUGAAGACGACGACGUUGAUAGGCCGGGUGUGUAAGCGCAGCGAUGCGUUGAGCUAACCGGUACUAAUGAACCGUGAGGCUUAACCUU